This is a non-coding RNA of Equus caballus (horse), 1699 nucleotides long. The record is from RefSeq and is a predicted model, not a curated record. Lineage: Eukaryota; Metazoa; Chordata; Mammalia; Perissodactyla; Equidae.
CUUCCUCCGAAGCCUGGUAAAUGGCUUGAUGAUUGGUCGCUAUUACUCGCCCUGAGGUGGAAGGGGGGAGACUCUUUAAAGUGCGUCAGAGGGAGGCAGGCGCCUGGGAACCCGGAGGCCUGGAUCCGGGCCGAGAGUGGAACGGACUCGGCGCCGCUGCCUCGGCUGUGCCUCCGGCGCCCGCCAGGCCGCCCGGCCUCUCCGCGCCCUCGUCCCGCGCUCCCGGCUCACUCGCUCCCGCGGCGCCCGCUGCAGCUUCUCCUCCGCCUCUUUCGCCGCCUCCUCUGCCUUCAGCUUCUUCUCUUCUUCCUCCUCCUCCUCUUCCUCCUUCUUCCUCUCCUCUUCUUCCUCCUCCUCUUUCCCCACCUCCUCUCCCUCAGCCACCGCCUCCUCCUCCACCGCCACCACUCCCUCCGGGGCACCCCGGUCCCUGCAGAGUCCCGGCCGGCGGCGCCUCGGCUGCAGCCCCCUGGAUCCUGAGCCUGCCGAGCCCGAGCUGGUAGGACAGACGGACAGACAGACACGCAGAUUCCUCGCGCCUAGCGCUCCGCCGCGGCCCCGGGUCAGGGGAGCUGGGAUCGCCCCCCGAGUACCGCGAGGUUCUAGCUGCAGUCCUGCCAUUUGGGCAGCUUCUGGCCACCAUGAGAGAAUCGGUGUCACCAUGUCCAGCUGAUGUCAUUCCAGAUCACUGCAAAGGAAUGUGGAGUGUCCAUCAGCCCAAGUGACCUUGUUUGGAGUAACUACACCAUUGCAUGAGACUCAGAAAUUGCAAAAAUGCUCAGGAAUCCACAGAAGAAUCUCAGCCAGCCCCGGAGCCCCGGGAUCCCUGGACUGUGUAUUUCACUCUUGCCAGGGGUGCUGGUGCCAGAGGUCAGCGAGCUUUCACCUCCAUCCCUCCUCACUGCAGGCCGCUUCAGAGCCCCUCAGCCCAGCCGCAGUGCUGAGGCCGAGGAGGGAGGAAGAAGAGGACAGCUCCUGGGAGAGGCCACUCGGUGUCUGGCCCUCCAAAUGCAUGGAGUACAGAAACUUGGCUGGGCGCAGAAGCACCUCGUGACUGUGCAAAGCAAGUCCAGAUGGCAUGAGAUACACCACCACUGAUGCCAAGAAAUCCUGGGUGUGCCCCUUGGGGUGUCCCCUCCGAGGGCAGCCACAGCCCGGGCAUGGUGCACUCCUGACAAGUGGCCAAAGGCGCACAGAACCAGCAGCCUGCAAAGAAAAUUUGGUGAAUGCGGUUAGAUCAUGUCAACUUUAAUGUGCUUCCAGAGUAUUAACAACACCUCUGCAAGGUACCAAGGUACCAAGGUACCGUGUGACUCUUCAAAGGCUUCCCACAGGCCAUGUGUCCUUUAAGCCUCAUUCGAGAGAAAGACAGAACAGAUACCAUGGGGAUUGCGAAAGAUACUGUGACAAAUCUGAGGUCCAGCAAGAUGGCGGUGGAGAUGCGAGGACUUGAGCCUAGUUACUCACACCAGGCCUCAUCCAGAGGAUGCACACAGGGACUGUGUACCAUGAAGAGGCUGUCCGGAAGUUAGGAGCAGGGUCAGCCCACACAGUGGGGCAGAUUGUGCACUGCAUCAGGGCAUCCCUACCAAAGGGGUCCCAAUCACAUCUUGGACAUGGUAGAUCUGCAUGUUUAUUCCAUUUCUCUGGAUUGCAAUAAAGUGUCUAUUCUAAUAAAAUCAGUAUAAUACUUUCCCAA